Molecule: long non-coding RNA, 1051 nt
Organism: Aedes aegypti (yellow fever mosquito)
Lineage: Eukaryota; Metazoa; Arthropoda; Insecta; Diptera; Culicidae
Exons: 2
Source: RefSeq, a predicted model, not a curated record
CGUUGUAUCUCGGUUUCUUCUCCAACUGGUUUACACUCAGGAACAUUCACUGAUGAUAUUGACAAUUGGUUGAUCGAGGACAUAAACCGAGACUCUUCAAGCGUGGAUCUUUCUCGUUGGGUGCUGUGUGGACGAAAAUUCUCGCUGUAGUCACUGACACUUUGAUUCUCAACAUCGACUGAUGCUGCUGCUGUUGCUGCUGCUGUAGAUUCGAGUUGCUGCUUUUCCAUUCGAACCUUUUCCAACUCUUUUCGAAGCUCGUCUGAGCGUGAUUUUUCGUUUUCCAACUCGUUCGCCAUCAAUUCGAACUUUCGCGCAUUCUGUUGCCUCUCCUUCUUCUUCUUCUUCUUUGCAAGAGCACUGGAUUCCAAAGCUUUUUGUUUAACUUUCUUGGGAGCAUCGAUUUUUGCUGAAAUCGAUUCCGAUGUUGGUGUUGCAUCACUUGCUGGCUUCUUAGAAACUUUUUUCCCUGAGGAAGCAUUAUCUGCGCCAUUGUGGUAAAUUUUCUUCUCCAUUCUGGUGAACCGAAAAACACAACUGCGGUAACGAUGUUUUACUUCCGUUCGCUCUAAACUUCGUUUUCUGAAUGAUCGGAAACGGAUCAGUUUGAACACUCCCGACCGUAGUUUAUUUUUCUUUUUUUCAUCCAUUCCACACACACUCAUGUGUUUAAUUAACGCCAUAUCUACUUUUUCAAGAACGCACCUUUUUUUUUUUUCGGACCUCGUUUUUCGAAUUAAGCUCCCGAAAGCGUUUUACCUUAAGUUCAUGUUCAAGUUUCUAUGCAAGCUUUUCGAACCUUCUAAGCAUUUCUAAACAAUAAUCGAAAAUCGACUAUGGAAAUAGAAUCGCCCAAUUCUAUUUCUAAACUUUUCGUGCUGUAUGUGAAACGUCAGUUUUUCGUUGAUUUUGUUUUGAUUCCGUUUUGUUUAUGCAUUCAUCAAAUCAGUAACUGAACUGUUCUUCGUUGGUCAUCGGAUUGAGUUUCAGUCGUGAAUUAUUCAGAUUUGCCUGCUGAUGUUAGUGAGUGUGUAAAUUGUAUCUAUCAAAU